Molecule: ribosomal RNA, 253 nt
Filed under: uncultured bacterium
Lineage: Bacteria
Description: partial 16S ribosomal RNA
Rfam family: Bacterial small subunit ribosomal RNA
Source: RNAcentral
UACGUAGGGCGCAAGCGUUAUCCGGAAUUACUGGGCGUAAAGCGCACGUAGGCGGCUAUUCAAGUCGGGGGUGAAAGCCCGGGGCUCAACCCCGGAACUGCCCUCGAAACUAGAUAGCUAGAAUCUUGGAGAGGCGAGUGGAAUUCCGAGUGUGGAGGUGAAAUUCGUAGAUAUUCGGAAGAACACCAGUGGCGAAGGCGACUCGCUGGACAAGUAUUGACGCUGAGGUGCGAAAGCGUGGGGAGCAAACAGG